UACGGGGGGAGCAAGCGUUGUUCGGAUUUACUGGGCGUAAAGGGCGCGUAGGCGGUCAGCACAAGUCAGUUGUGAAAUCUCCGGGCUUUACUCGGAAAGGUCAAGUGAUACUGUCGGACUAGAGUACAGAAGGGGCAACUGGAAUUCUCGGUGUAGCGGUGAAAUGCGUAGAUAUCGAGAGGAACACCUGCGGCGAAGGCGGGUUGCUGGGCUGAUACUGACGCUGAGGCGCGAAAGCUAGGGGAGCGAACGGG
This 254-nucleotide ribosomal RNA is filed under the name uncultured bacterium. Its description in RNAcentral is "partial 16S ribosomal RNA". It matches the Rfam family "Bacterial small subunit ribosomal RNA", at positions 524 to 776 of the family's 1533-position model. The record is from RNAcentral.